GCGGGGCUGCCCGGUGCGUCAGGCAAUCCACCCCCGGGGCCGAUAGCAACUCUCCAGGGAGCUGGCUCUGUCGUGAUCGUGGUCACGGUAUCCGGUGCCCACCUGCGCAAGCAGGCUCUGGGAGGGUGAAAACGCCAACGGCCAUGGCGGCUCCGCA
This 157-nucleotide non-coding RNA is filed under the name Rhodospirillales bacterium. RNAcentral's name for it is "6S RNA". It matches the Rfam family "6S / SsrS RNA". From Rfam's summary of the family: E. coli 6S RNA was the first non coding RNA to be sequenced, but its function was unknown until recently. It consists of 184 nucleotides that fold into an extended hairpin structure with a large single-stranded internal bulge. The 6S RNA specifically associates with RNA polymerase holoenzyme containing the sigma70 specificity factor. Lineage: Bacteria; Pseudomonadati; Pseudomonadota; Alphaproteobacteria; Rhodospirillales. The record is from RNAcentral.